CUCAGGAUGAACGCUAGCGACAGGCCUAACACAUGCAAGUCGAGGGGCAUCGGGGCGAGGAGCAAUCCUUGCCGCCGGCGACCGGCGCACGGGUGAGUAACGCGUAUGCGACCUGCCCGUUGCAGGGGGAUAAUCGGGAGAAAUCCCGUCUAAUACCGCGUAAUGCCGCGGGGCUGCAUGGCCCUGCGGCCAAAGGAAGCGAUUCCGGCAACGGAUGGGCAUGCGUGACAUUAGCUAGUUGGCGGGGCAACGGCCCACCAAGGCGACGAUGUCUAGGGGUUCUGAGAGGAAGGUCCCCCACACUGGUACUGAAACACGGACCAGACUCCUACGGGAGGCAGCAGUGAGGAAUAUUGGUCAAUGGGCGCGAGCCUGAACCAGCCAAGUCGCGUGAGGGAUGACGGCCCUACGGGUUGUAAACCUCUUUUGUCGGGGAGCAAAUCCCGCCACGUGUGGCGGAGUCGAGAGUACCCGAAGAAAAAGCAUCGGCUAACUCCGUGCCAGCAGCCGCGGUAAUACGGAGGAUGCGAGCGUUAUCCGGAUUUAUUGGGUUUAAAGGGUGCGUAGGCGGACUGUCAAGUCAGCGGUAAAAUACGGGGGCUCAACCUCCGCCCGCCGUUGAAACUGACGGUCUUGAGUGGGCGAGAAGUAUGCGGAAUGCGUGGUGUAGCGGUGAAAUGCAUAGAUAUCACGCAGAACUCCGAUUGCGAAGGCAGCAUACCGGCGCCCAACUGACGCUGAAGCACGAAAGCGUGGGUAUCGAACAGGAUUAGAUACCCUGGUAGUCCACGCAGUAAACGAUGAAUACUAGCUGUCCGGGGCGAAUGAGCCCUGGGUGGCACAGCGAAAGCGUUAAGUAUUCCACCUGGGGAGUACGCCGGCAACGGUGAAACUCAAAGGAAUUGACGGGGGCCCGCACAAGCGGAGGAACAUGUGGUUUAAUUCGAUGAUACGCGAGGAACCUUACCCGGGCUCAAACGACACAGGAACGUACCUGAAAGGGUUCGGCUCUACGGAGCCUGUGUCGAGGUGCUGCAUGGUUGUCGUCAGCUCGUGCCGUGAGGUGUCGGCUUAAGUGCCAUAACGAGCGCAACCCCCAUCGACAGUUGCUAACAGGUCAGGCUGAGGACUCUGUCGAGACUGCCGGCGCAAGCUGCGAGGAAGGCGGGGAUGACGUCAAAUCAGCACGGCCCUUACGUCCGGGGCGACACACGUGUUACGAUGGCAGGUACAGCGGGAAGCCACCUGGCGACAGGGAGCGGAACCCGAAAGCCUGUCUCAGUUCGGAUUGGAGUCUGCAACCCGACUCCAUGAAGCUGGAUUCGCUAGUAAUCGCGCAUCAGCCACGGCGCGGUGAAUACGUUCCCGGGCCUUGUACACACCGCCCGUCAAGCCAUGGAAGCCGGGGGUGCCUGAAGUGCGCUGCCGCGAGGAGCGCCCUAGGGUAAAACUCGGUGACUGGGGCUAAGUCGUAACAAGGUA
This 1482-nucleotide ribosomal RNA is filed under the name uncultured bacterium. RNAcentral's name for it is "bacterial SSU rRNA". It matches the Rfam family "Bacterial small subunit ribosomal RNA". The record is from RNAcentral.